RNAcentral lists this ribosomal RNA (464 nucleotides) under uncultured bacterium. Its description in RNAcentral is "partial 16S ribosomal RNA". It matches the Rfam family "Bacterial small subunit ribosomal RNA", at positions 28 to 507 of the family's 1533-position model. The record is from RNAcentral.
GACGAACGCUGGCGGCGUGCUUAACACAUGCAAGUCGAACGGAAAGGCCCAGCUUGCUGGGUGCUCGAGUGGCGAACGGGUGAGUAACACGUGGGUGAUCUGCCUCUAACUUCGGGAUAAGCUUGGGAAACUGGGUCUAAUACCGGAUAGGACAUUCGUUUAGUGUCGGUUGUGGAAAGUUGUUUCGGUUAGGGAUGAGCCCGCGGCCUAUCAGCUUGUUGGCUGGGUAAUGGCCUAACAAGGCGUCGACGGGUAGCCGACAUGGGAGGCUGGACGGCCACAUGGGGACUGAGAGACGGCCCAGUCUCCUAUGGGAGGCAGAAGGGGGGAGUAUGGCACAAUGGGCGCGAGCCUGUUGCAACGACGUCGCGGGGGUGAUGACGUCCUGCGGGGUGUAAACCUCUUUCGACAGAGACGAAGCUUUGGUGACGGUACCUGAAGAAGAAGCACCGGCUAACUACGUG